AUUGAACGCUGGCGGCAUGCCUUACACAUGCAAGUCGAGCGGCAGCGCGGGGGCAACCCUGGCGGCGAGCGGCGAACGGGUGAGUAAUACAUCGGAACGUGUCCAGUAGCGGGGGAUAACCUGUCGAAAGAUAGGCUAAUACCGCAUACGACCUACGGGUGAAAGCGGGGGACCGCAAGGCCUCGCACUAUUGGAGCGGCCGAUGUCGGAUUAGCUAGUUGGCGGGGUAACGGCCCACCAAGGCGACGAUCCGUAGCUGGUCUGAGAGGACGACCAGCCACACUGGAACUGAGACACGGUCCAGACUCCUACGGGUGGCAG
Molecule: ribosomal RNA, 321 nt
Filed under: uncultured Pseudomonadota bacterium
Lineage: Bacteria; Pseudomonadati; Pseudomonadota
Description: bacterial SSU rRNA
Rfam family: Bacterial small subunit ribosomal RNA
Source: RNAcentral